AACCUUGGGGCUCCCUCCCGUGUAAAUGUAUUUGACUCCAGGAGGGGCAGAGCUUUCCUGGUUCAUUUCCAGGCCUUUAGAAAGAAGCUUUCUCCUUUUUGGAGAUUUGGUAUUGCCUGCAUUAGAGUUUGUUAGCAUUUCUUUGGAAUGGUAGAGGCACUGAGUAGCCUGUAAGUGAAAGGACGCUGAACUAUAUCUGUUUCACUGUGGUCUGAAAAUGUCUUGGCUAAAAAAGAAAUAUUUAAAGGAUUUUGAUCACUGCAUGAUAAGUAAUAAGUUAAAGUAACAGAAAGCUUCUUGAAUGAUGGAGGUGUCUGUCUGUAAGACAGACUGUGGCACGUGCCUUAGCAUGCCCUGUUAGUGUUAUGCUGUCAGAUAGAGAGCAUGUGAAAGAAUUGCUUUUCAGCAGAACCCGCAUGUGUAGGUGAACACAGUCAGCUUUCCAGAAACAAAACUCUGCAACUCUUCCCAAAGAUUAGACAUCUUGGACCUCUAUUGAUACUUCUAGACUGCUUGACACAGGAACACUCCACAAGUAGAUUUAGAAGCUGUAUGAGACUUUGCCAGUGAUUGAUCUUCAACUCUGAGAACAGAAGGUUAAAAUAGCAGGAAUCCUGGAUGAAUGUCUGUCAUUAGCAAAGCUGUCUUCUUCCAUUACUUACAUUUUGUGUCAUUCUUUGAAGUCUUUUCUGAAGAAACAUGUGCUGUCUAGCUCACAAAAUCACUAUUGAAGCUUACCAAAAUGUUAACCACUUUUACUCUCCCCUUGCUUUGCUCAGCAAACAUAGGUUUUUGAAAGAUAAAAGAAAGCAAGGAUAUAGCAGAGAAGCAGAAAUCGGUAGAACUGGCAUUAGUUUUGAAAGGAAAAGGAAGAACUCUAUUAUGUCUGAGUAAAAGCAAGGUGUAAAUAUUCAAGGUAAAACUAUUCAGCCCUUAGACGUGUAGCUAAGCAGGUCCAAGAAUUCAUUGAAUUUAAAUUAGAGAAAGCUUUAAAUUACUAAAUAACCCUUCUUUUCCCCACUGCACUGAAUGACUGCUUCUGAAUGCUUUCAGCUGUGUAACUAGGCACAUCCCAUUCUGGCUGACUUGACCAGAAUGAGCAACUAAAAUGGAAGAUCCCACUUUGUAGUCAGCCUCUCAAGGUGUCAUCUGGUGCUUAGAGUGGUUCUGACCAUGGAUGCUCCAGAUGCCAUGAUCUACACUUGAUGGUCACUAUCAAGGCAUCUAUGUGAUUAAGACAACAAGCAAAGCAGCAUUCUUUUAUUUUUAGUAUAGAGUUAUUAGUGUGUGAAUCUAAGGAACCACAUGUGAGGCUCUGUGAUGUGAAUAAUCAAGCAUUCCAGCUGCUUUUGAGUGAUCCCAGCACUGACAACUGAAAGCAGGAGGAAUUUUUCUCCAGCAUAGCACCAUUUAUGACAUCCUGUUAUGCAGCCUGAAACGAGCUCCGAUGUUCCAGUGAAAGAAAGCUCAACACUUUGUGAGGGAACAUACAUAAUCACUAAGAAUUUGGCAAAGUCAAAAGCCAAAUCCAGGGCCAUUGAUUUGACUCUCAUGUCUCAUCUAAUGUCUGCUGUUGUGUUGCUGCUUCUUAAAUUAUGGAUAUGUUCUUGGCCUGGUAGAAGGUACAGAAUACAGAUCUUCUGAAGCACAGCUGAAUUAGGGAAAAACAGAACUCUGAUGCAGUUUCUGGUGUUACAGGGUACA
Molecule: long non-coding RNA, 1704 nt
Organism: Passer domesticus (house sparrow)
Lineage: Eukaryota; Metazoa; Chordata; Aves; Passeriformes; Passeridae
Exons: 2
Source: RefSeq, a predicted model, not a curated record